This 467-nucleotide ribosomal RNA is filed under the name uncultured bacterium. Its description in RNAcentral is "partial 16S ribosomal RNA". It matches the Rfam family "Bacterial small subunit ribosomal RNA", at positions 28 to 506 of the family's 1533-position model. The record is from RNAcentral.
GACGAACGCUGGCGGCGUGCUUAACACAUGCAAGUCGAACGGAAAGGCCCUGCUUUUGUGGGGUGCUCGAGUGGCGAACGGGUGAGUAACACGUGAGUAACCUGCCCUUGACUUUGGGAUAACUUCAGGAAACUGGGGCUAAUACCGGAUAGGAGCUCCUGCUGCAUGGUGGGGGUUGGAAAGUUUCGGCGGUUGGGGAUGGACUCGCGGCUUAUCAGCUUGUUGGUGGGGUAGUGGCUUACCAAGGCUUUGACGGGUAGCCGGCCUGAGAGGGUGACCGGCCACAUUGGGACUGAGAUACGGCCCAGACUCCUACGGGAGGCAGCAGUGGGGAAUAUUGCACAAUGGGCGGAAGCCUGAUGGAGCAACGCCGCGUGCGGGAUGACGGCCUUCGGGUUGUAAACCGCUUUCGCCUGUGACGAAGCGUGAGUGACGGGAAUGGGUAAAGAAGCACCGGCUAACUACGU